UGAGACCGUAGGCGAAGACUUGUAUCCCGGUGUUCCCGAGAGAAGCGGCGGCGAGUUCUAGGUUUCCUAGGUGGCCGGAGAAGAUUUGAGUAGACAUGGACAUGAGAUAGUUUAUCAUGUAGACGAUGACAGCAGGCGCAGCAAGCUUGAAGAGAAGUUUGGAUUCAAUCAUCGUGGCUUUACGCAGACGGGCAAACAGGGGAGUUUCAACGUCGGAUAGGACUCUCUCUAACUCGCUGUUGUUCGACUCCGUCGCCGGAGAAAGCUGAGGCUGGAGAAGUGGUUGGUAUGCGCCAUCGUUUUGAGACGAGUCCAUGAGACUUUGCUCUGCUUAAGUCUAGUGAAGGUCUUUUUGUAGAGGGUGGCAAACUAGCAAUUGACUUACGGCUUAUAUGCACAGUGCACACUCGUGAUUCUCGCCUUGAGUUUUUUUUUUUUUUUUUUUUUUUUGAGAUAGAUAGAACUCUAGUGCUUGUGGUAAGCCCACGUCAAUUAUUUUCAUUUCAUAUCAUUUUCUUAUUUCGGUUUUUGUUUUGUUUUCAAAGGACAUUCAAUUAAGAUCAUCAUUAACAGUUAGAAAUCUACUAGGUUCUUAACUAGAUAGUUUCAUAUUUAAAAAGCAUUGAGAAAGUGAAAAUUAGGGCUGGGCAAAAAACCCGGAUCCGAAGAAUCGAACCGAACCCAAUCCGAAAAAGUAGUACCAAACCCGAACCGAAAUUGAUUAAAUAUCUGAACGGGUUCAAAUUUUGGUAUCUAGAGAACCGAAACCAAAUCCGACCCGAACCGAAGUAUUUCGGGUAUCCGAAUGUAACCGAAAUAGAUUUAUAUACCUAAAUAUAUUACUUAUUUUUAGAUUUAAUAUAUAUUAAAAACAUCCAAAAUAUAUAAGAUACUUUAAAGUUGUCUAAAAUACUUGAAAUAUACAUAAAUAGUCAAAAGUAAUGUCUAAAAUAGAUAAAAUAUAUUCAAAACACCAAAAUACUUGAAAUAUUUUAACAUAUAUUAUACAAAUUUAUAUGUAAUACAUUAUUUUGAUUUAUAGAUUUUGAAAAAUUUUAAGCAUAUAAUGAAUAUUAAAAAUAAUUUAAAUGAGUUAUCCGAACCCGAACCGAACCCGCAAAGAUCCGAACCGAACCCGAACAAUUAAUUUAGCAAACGAAAUCAACGAAUCAAAUAUUUAUUUUGAAAGCAAAUAUUUUUGAUGAAAGACUUACCAAAUGGAGAGAGAAUCAAGAGCAAGUUCUGGGUUCUCGAGAAGUCCGGCAAGAAGAACCAAGAUCUGAAAAUACCAAGUCUCAAGGCAAAGCAUCACGGCAGAGGCGGCUGAGAGUUUGAAGAAACUCGGUAGCCCCGAGAACGCUUGCACACUGAACCCUCUCCACGUCUCACGACACCGAUCACUCGUCACGAUAUAAACAAACUGAGCCACCACUAUAACCCACCACGAGAGGCUGAGCACGAGCGACGCUCCAAGAAGCCCCAUCCCAAGCUUGUAAACAGCGAGCCAGCUAAGGAGAAGAUGAACGAAGAGAGUGGCUGUUGCAAUGUAAGCACUUGGAGCAACAAUGCUUUGAGCCUGUAGGAACUUCUGGAUCGGGAAGUUCAUUGCGUAGGCAAAGAUUUGAGGGAUGAGACCGUAGACGAAGAGAGACGCGGCGGAAGCUAUCUCCGGCGAUUCCCCGAGGAAAAGUAGAAAAGGUUUGGAGAAGACGUAGAUAAAGGUGAGGAAGACGCCGGUGAGAGUGAGUAAUACGGCGGAUCUCUGGAGAUAAAUGCCGAGCAUAUCGUACUUCCUACCUCCAAACGCUUGUCCACAAAGCGUUUCCACCGCACUCCCCAUUCCUAGCUACAUAUUUUUAGGCUCCAAAGUUAUUACAAAACAGUUUAAAGUAUGUUGUAUAAUAUUCUUGUAACAAUUCUCGUAAUUUGUAAUAUAUAAUCAGUGUUAAAAAAAAUUCCAAUCCAUAACCACAUUAAAAGAUCAACAGAUGAUUUAGUUACCAUGAGACCGUAGGCGAAGACUUGUAUCCCGGUGUUCCCGAGAGAAGCGGCGGCGAGUUCUAGGUUUCCUAGGUGGCCGGAGAAGAUUUGAGUAGACAUGGACAUGAGAUAGUUUAUCAUGUAGACGAUGACAGCAGGCGCAGCAAGCUUGAAGAGAAGUUUGGAUUCAAUCAUCGUGGCUUUACGCAGACGGGCAAACAGGGGAGUUUCAACGUCGGAUAGGACUCUCUCUAACUCGCUGUUGUUCGACUCCGUCGCCGGAGAAAGCUGAGGCUGGAGAAGUGGUUGGUAUGCGCCAUCGUUUUGAGACGAGUCCAUGAGACUUUGCUCUGCUUAAGUCUAGUGAAGGUCUUUUUGUAGAGGGUGGCAAACUAGCAAUUGACUUACGGCUUAUAUGCACAGUGCACACUCGUGAUUCUCGCCUUGAGUUUUUUUUUUUUUUUUUUUUUUUUGAGAUAGAUAGAACUCUAGUGCUUGUGGUAAGCCCACGUCAAUUAUUUUCAUUUCAUAUCAUUUUCUUAUUUCGGUUUUUGUUUUGUUUUCAAAGGACAUUCAAUUAAGAUCAUCAUUAACAGUUAGAAAUCUACUAGGUUCUUAACUAGAUAGUUUCAUAUUUAAAAAGCAUUGAGAAAGUGAAAAUUAGGGCUGGGCAAAAAACCCGGAUCCGAAGAAUCGAACCGAACCCAAUCCGAAAAAGUAGUACCAAACCCGAACCGAAAUUGAUUAAAUAUCUGAACGGGUUCAAAUUUUGGUAUCUAGAGAACCGAAACCAAAUCCGACCCGAACCGAAGUAUUUCGGGUAUCCGAAUGUAACCGAAAUAGAUUUAUAUACCUAAAUAUAUUACUUAUUUUUAGAUUUAAUAUAUAUUAAAAACAUCCAAAAUAUAUAAGAUACUUUAAAGUUGUCUAAAAUACUUGAAAUAUACAUAAAUAGUCAAAAGUAAUGUCUAAAAUAGAUAAAAUAUAUUCAAAACACCAAAAUACUUGAAAUAUUUUAACAUAUAUUAUACAAAUUUAUAUGUAAUACAUUAUUUUGAUUUAUAGAUUUUGAAAAAUUUUAAGCAUAUAAUGAAUAUUAAAAAUAAUUUAAAUGAGUUAUCCGAACCCGAACCGAACCCGCAAAGAUCCGAACCGAACCCGAACCGAAAUUUAGAAAUACCCGAAUGGAACUGAAAUCUUUAAAACCCGAAAACCCGAAACCCGAUUAGAUCCGAACCGAACCCGAACGCCCAUCCCGAGUGAAAAUGUUCAGGCAGCUUUCAAAAUUUGUAAAAUAUUUGUACCAAAUUACUUGACUACCUUUUCCUUUUUUCUUGUUCUAUUUUUUAUUUAUGAAAAACUCAUAAAUUUAUUAUCAAUGCUCUAUAUAUGUUCAAAAAAAAUAUUCUCUGAAUUUUCUUUAAUUAAUGGAAAAAUAAGAUCUAUAAUCAGAUUUAAUUAUGCUGGAAAUAAUUAGUAAAGGUUUUUAUAAAUUAUAUAAAUGAAUAGUUAAUCAUAUCAAUAUAACUAAUAGUUUCUCAUUUUUUAAAUAAUAUUUAAUAAUAAUAAUAAUAAUAUUAUUAUUAUUAUUAUUAUUAUUAUUAUUAUUAUUAUUAUUAUUAUUAUUAUUAUUAUUAUUAUUCGUACCAAUAAAUAUCUUCUAAGAUUUCAACAACUUCUGGAAAUAGUUCAAAAUCACUCUUUAUAUCUAACUGGAUAUAAAAACGAUAAGAAAUAUUAAACGGAUGAAAAUGUUGGUCCAGCAAAAGAAAGAAGAAGGCAUUUGUUGAUAUGAUUCCGAAUCGAUUAUGAUGCUGCCUUCAACCUUCAUACGAAUAAAGUAAACAGCUGGGUGGGAUUAUUAGAGAUCAUAUGGGGAAUGCAUAAAAAUUGGGAUGCGGCAGUUUUGGAACAUGCUUCAUCGAGCGUAGAGGCGGAAAGGAAAACAUUAAUUUGGGCAAUGCAAUUGUGUUGUUAUUUAACGGUGAUUCCCAAGAUUUAGUUCGUACUAUGCAAGGAUUUUCUGUCUGACUAUAUUUCUAAUAUGUAUCUGCUUAAUGAUAUAAAUUAAACUAUCGGCAAAACAAGCGUUGGAUCUCUUCUUCCUCUAUUGUUAGACGCAAUGUUUUUAAACCCGACCUGGACACCGAACCGGACGACUUACCGGAUUGUUGGGUUACUGGAUCGACUACGGAUGAACUGCGUGUUAAUAAAUGAAUUAAUUUUAUUAUAUAAUAAUAUAUCAGCUAUGUAAAUAAAAAUAUGAAAACUAGAGUUUAAUAUUUUCUAAAUGUUUUUUGAAACAUAAAAUAAUAGUUUGGAUAUGUAUAUAUUUAUGUUUAAAAGAGUUUAGAAAAUACUUAACUAUAGUUUUUAUAUUUUUAUUUUCAUUUGACAUACAAAAUAUCAAAAUAUAGUUUAUAAUAUUUAUAAUAUUCUCUAACAAGGUAAGAGUUAUGAAAUCUAAAAAAAACCAAGACAUAAAAUUUAUAAAUAUUUAAAUGUAUGUGAAUAAUAAAUUUAACUUCAAAUACAAAAUAAACUAAAGUAAAAAGUUAUUGUAAUAAAUUAUCAAUAACAGAAAUAAACUAACAUCAAAUCACAUCAACUAAUUUUGGUUCUCUCUACCAUCGCUCACUUUAGUUUCUUCAGGUGGCAUAGUGAAAUAUUCAUCAAAAUCUAAAAAUCAAAAAUAUAAAAUUGAAAAGAGAAAAUCUAACUUUUUUUUUUGUCAGCACCUAACUUAUUAAUUGGAAAUUUAGAAUAUAAAACAUAAUCUAAAAACAUAAUUAAAAACUAAAAAAAGAAGUAAAAGUUUUUAUUGGUUCAACCGGUAUCGGGUUCUGAUUUUUACUGGACUUUUGCAGGUUUCUACGGUUUUCUAAAUAUUGGGUUUCUGGAUUUUUUUUGGGUCACCGGAUUUACUGGUUCAACCGCGGAUUUUGGUCGGGUUCAAAACACUGAUUAGACUCAGACGUUUUUCUGCUGCACAUGUUUUAGCUUUAUAAGUCAUCUAAAUUGAGUGUACUAUACAUAUUGUAUUUUUUCCUCCUAGGUGGCUACCAUCAAGUUUGUAUUCAUAUACAGUAGUCAACCUUCAAGUUAAAUAAUAACUUUUUCGAAAAAAUGAUUCCGAUUAAAUUGUUUCUUAGUGGUUUUAUGCUCAACAUGCAAGAACAUAGCUUGCUUUCAUUAUUUUGUAGCCAAUUGAUAGCGGACGAGUGAUUUCGUGUUGUUUAAGAUUUGGUUUGUCAUUCUAGACAAACAAACAAAUUCUCUCAAAAAUCAAACAUCUAUCACCGUUUCACACGUUUUAUAAAGUUUUACUCGGAUUUUUUCUCUCUUAAAAACAGAAUGGCUUACUUGAAAUUAAUCAAUAUUUUACAUGGAAUUUUGAAAAGGCACAUAGAGCUUAUGCCCCUCUCUUAGUGCGGUUUCGCUACCGUUAGAAACAUUUUUGUUGGAGAUAGAUUUCACAUUCACUUUAAAACCGGUUUAAGACACAGUUUAAUGAUCCAAAGACUCAUUAAAUAGAUAAUAAACCCAAGAAAAUACUCGGAGUUCAAAAAGAGUUAAUGUUGACUUGAUCCCGUCAACCCAAAACAUAAAAAAAAUUGUGGCAUUAAAGUAGGCAUUAAUGAUGCUGGAUUAUGCCGGAGAUCACGUCGCUGUUAUAAUCUCCCUCCAAACAUCUAUAAAAGGAGGAGAAAGAAGAAAUGGAGGGGGAUCAAGACUUCAUACAUCAAAACUAUAUUUUUUGCACUUAAAUUCACUUGUAUUUGCAUGCUCUCUAUUCAUUAUCAUUGUAUCAAGUUUAAGUAUCAAUACGAACCACUUUUAUAGCCUAAUUCUAAUUUCUGAGUGGAUCUCGUGGUCUAUCAAUUACGUUAUAAAAAAAAUCUCUCGCAGUUCAUUCUUAGCUGUCAUUUAUUGACAUAACUAAGUUUGAUUUCUAUGUUAGGUCUAAAAGUAUGUCAUUUAUUGGCGGUAAGUUUCCUACUAGUUCAAUCCAGUUCAAUCCACAGAAUUGAUAGCCAUCAAAACGGUAUGAUAGCCAUCAAAACGGUAUAUAUGUUUUAACCGUUGCUGUAAAUAAUUAACAAACAAACCUAGCAUUUUGUUAGAACCUCAUUCUGCGGAUCUAUUCGUUAAGGUUGCUCUUAGCUUGUGUGAGAAAGGAACUAACAUAGUGAUUCUAGAACUACCACGUACCUAUAUAUUUAAGCAUGGUUUCUACAAUUACUACGUACAUAAAUAUUUCAAGUCUUGUUUUCACAACUACCACGUACAUAAACAUAUUACUUCCAUAAAUCAACCACAAAAAUUGAUAGAAGUGGGGACAGCCUUGAUUUCAUGGAAAAUUUUAAUAUUAACCAACAUUGUGGGUGGGUGCAAUUUAUGAUAUCAGAACGAACCAACAUUAUAUCUGAGGAGUACCAACUUGGAACCUAACCCUUGACAUACUGUAGCUUUGUUCUUCGUCGCCAAGAGGCUAGCUAGUGAAAGAUUCUUCUUGCUGGGAGUGUUUGUACGAGAUAUAUAGAAAAGUAUAGUUCUAUUAAUGAACAUAUAAACCAACGCGAAUUGGGCUAGUUGUACUUGAGGGACCUUCGGGCUUGAUACGGUUCCAGCUUCGAUUCCCGUUAGCCACUGGAGAAUUAACAUUUCGACAUCGUCAGACAUGGAAGCGACACGUGGGGCAAUAACGUAGGCUGCAAAACACGUGGUUAGUCUGGACCCACCUUAUGGUGGAGGUCAUGAUAUCCAUGUAUAAUCCAAAAAUAUAUAUAUUAAUUACGUAUAAGCAAAAUAUCCAAAUGUUUGUGAACUUGUGUUAUUGAGAUUUUUUUUCCAUUUGCCUAACUGAGCCAUUUUGGACGGAAAUAUCUUUAAAUUAUUUGUAGGUCAUGUUUAAAUAAAUAUUUAACAUGUUCAAAGAUUUUUCUUAAUAAAAUCUAGACUACUAUUUUAUGCAUAUUUUAAAUUUCAAAAGAAAAAGAGUUUUUUUUUUCAAAUAAAUUUCAAAAGAAAAAAGAGUUUUUCAAAUUGAAGUCUGAUUUACUUGUACUAGCAUAUGCUAAAAACAGUGAUGUCACUGAUGUCUAGACCAAAAUCCAUAUACAUCUUUAUAACGGUUGUAUUCAUUGUUAACAUCAUUAGGCUCUUGAAACAAAAAGUGUUGUGUGACAUGGUCCCUCAGUUUCAUAAAUAUGUGCUGUAUGUUUUUAGAAGAAAAAUAUUAUUUAAAAAAAAUAUAUUUUUGUAUUUCAAUAAUUUUUUAUCAACUAUUAAUGAUUUAGCCGAAAAGGUGAUGAAGAUAUUAAAAUAUAAAGAGUUCUGAUUUUCGGAAGAAGGCACACAUGCAGAGUAAACCACAUAAUUUAGAGCAGUCUGAUCUCUAAAGUGUGCUCUUAGAUCAAUGACAAAAUAGUGAAGAAAAAGCUAAACUUUAUAUUUCUUGGUAUGUAUUAGAUACGUGUGUGUUAUAUUGAUAGAUGGAGAUUGAUGUGGAGUUAACAGAUAUGUUAGUAUUGGAUACUUUUAGCAGGCAUGGUUUUGACGUAAGAUUGUCUAAACACCUCUUGCAAAUGGCUUGAGGACAUAUACCUUUUUUUUUUUUGAAACACUUUUUUUUUUUUUUUUGAAACACGAGGACAUAUACCAAACUUUGCUAUUCUUGUGUGCAGACAUCUUUUUUUUUUUUUUUUUGAAACACGAGGACAUAUACCAAACUUUGCUAUUCUUGUGUGCAGAGCCGGACCUCACAUAUGCAAGGCUAGAAGAAAAUAAAAUACUUUUAACCCUGUAAACAAUUUAUUUUUAAAAAAUAGUGCUACGAUACUAAACUUGACUCAAACUCAGAACCCUACACACUUAACUAACUAAGUUUUACCAUCUGAACUAACUGAUCUUCAACAAAAUUUGCUCCUAUAUUAUUUUAACCAUACCGCCCGCGAGCUAAUGCUUGAUCAGUUUCUAUUAAGUACCGGCCCUGCUUGUGUGUGUUGAUAAACUGUGUUUUUACCAACUUAUAUUUUUUUUCUCAAGUUAAACUAUGUGUUUUUGAAUAUCUUGCUUUUUAUCAAGUUUUUUAAAGUUUAGAUCUAUUUAAAGGAAAAAAGCCAUUUAAAAAGUAAACAAACAUAUGGAAGUACAAGAUUGUGCAGAGGUAUCAAAAGUCUGAUAUUGAAUUAAAAAGAUUUUUUUUUUUUUGAAUUUUAAGGAAUUCAGGGUUUCCCCAAAGGCUUUCUAGGCCCAAAGGACUAAUCCCCCUCCUGGCGCUGACGAGCUCCAUGUAAUAAUGCCCCAGUGGCCCGAGAGAAUUGUUUGCAGCGUGAGGCUUCGAACCCGGGCGUAUUGGCACCAUGGGCACCUCAACCACGAAAUUCUAACCACUCGCCCAACUCAGUCGGGUUGAAUUAAAAAGAUUUCACUGAUGGAUUGAGAUUAAUCUAACGGUACGCAUAUAUAGUUAUGGCUAUUUUCUUUAAAAACUAUUCCGUCUGAUGCGUAGAAAAAUAUGCACAAAACAAUUUCAAAAUAAUAAGUUUGUAGUCUUUGGAUAUAUAUGUGUUAGACAGUUGUAUGUUUUUUUCCGGAUAAAAUGUAAAGUUUAUAUCAAAUUUUCAAUUGUGACAGAUAUUACAUAGAGAAUUGUACCUGAAUGUGGAAAGUAAACUAAGAAACAAAUCCUGAUACAGUUAUGAGCAAAAUCAGGAAAAGAUAGCGGAGCUAAGCUUAAAGCCAGCUAAACAACGAGAUGUAUUCGGACAAAAAAAAACCCCGACACAGUCGAGGACGCGAGCCGAAAACCACAAACUACCGAGAAAAAAGGUAUUUUCAAAAAACAAUAGCUUCUGCAGCUUCGACAACCUGCCCAAAACUGAUCCGCACAAAUAAUCCAAACAUGAGCAAACCCAAACCACCCGACAAAAGAUAUCUUCGAUAGUAUUGAUGGUAUGAGAGUGAACCACCGAUCGACGAUACAUAUCGUAGAGAUGAGCCGAAGAUACUAUCUCCAGUCCAGCUCACUGUGACCAUGUACAUUCAUUGAACAGAACUCACAUAUAGAAAGAGAGAACCGAACUUGUUGUUUUGUUGAUGGAUGGACACUGAUUGGUGUCGUUUAACUCUAUUUUUUUUAUUUAGAAAAACUUGUAAAAGAACUGAGAUGGUGAACUUGUUAUAUUUCUUGAGUGCUCAUAUUCACUCUGGUUUGUAGUCUUUACCAAAAAUAAUUAGCAUUUUUAAGAAAAAUUCUAACGGCCAAUAAAGUAUCUACAGUCGUUAUGUUACUUUUAGAUAUUUCGUAUUUGUAGUGUGAAAUAAAUCUUGAACCCUAUAGGCUAUCUUUUUUUUUUGAAACACACUUAUAUUAAUGAACUCAAACAAAGGUUGGUGCAGCCAUUAAAGCUAGUUCAGCAGACAGAACCUGCUUUGCUAACAAAUCUGUAUCUAUAUUUUUCGAUCUAGAGAUCCAAACAAAGGAAAUACAUUCAAAGGAUAAAGCUACAUCUUGAAUAUCCGCCAAGAUCCCAUAGAGACCAGCAAGGGACAUUUUCUCGUUGAUGGCUUUAACGAGUUCAGCGCAGUUAGAUUCGCACUUGAUUCACAUCAGUCCGAGUUCCCUGCACUUCCAGAUUGCUUCCCGAAGCGCAAGUGCUUCAGCUGCCAGCGGCGUGCGCAUGUAAUGGGCCAAGCACGAGAAGGAUGAAGCUCUGUUCUGUGCUUUUACUAUCCACCCUAGCCCUGCAAUAUUAGAACUUUCAUUCCAGGCAGCAUCUGAUUUGAUUACAACACAAUUAGAUGGUGUCCUAGUUGGCGGUGAAAGCCCAUGUGUUGUCGCAGGAGCUUUUGCUUGGCAAGCUCCCCAUUCUCUAGCAAGCGUAAUUGCUUUGGAGAACGUUUCUUGUGCUGAGAGGGGUCUGUCGUUGAAGACCAAAUUAUUUCUUGCUGUCCAUAUGCUCCACAGAAUCCAGGGUGCUAGCUGUCCUGCCGUAACUCCGGUUGGUGGUAAGUUCUUCCUUGAGAUCAAGCUACACCAUAAGUUUCUCAAACCUAUAGAAUCAUUGUACUCAACGCUUGGAAAAACAGGGGCCGAUGA
RNAcentral lists this long non-coding RNA (10084 nucleotides) under Brassica napus (rape). RNAcentral describes it as "long non-coding RNA (BNAP_LNC025556)". Lineage: Eukaryota; Viridiplantae; Streptophyta; Magnoliopsida; Brassicales; Brassicaceae. The record is from RNAcentral.